AUGUUGUUCCCAGCAAAAGUGGAGCAUUGUGUAGGUGACUCACACCGCCAUACGUUGUGUGGAGACGCCAUACGUUGUGUGGAGACGCCAUGCGUUGUGUGGAGACCGCCAUACGUUGUGUGGAGACGCCAUACGUUGUGUGGAGACGCCAAACGUUGUGUGGAGACGCCAUACGUUGUGUGGAGACGCCAAACGUUGUGUGGAGAGCACCAUACGUUGUGUGGAGACGCCAUACGUUGUGUGGAGACGCCAAACGUUGUGUGGAGACGCCAUACGUUGUGUGGAGAGCACCAUACGUUGUGUGGAGACGCCAAACGUUGUGUGGAGAGCACCAUACGUUGUGUGGAGACGCCAAACGUUGUGUGGAGACGCCAUACGUUGUGUGGAGACGCCAAACAUUGUGUGGAGAGCAACAUACGUUGUGUGGAGACGCCAUACGUUGUGUGGAGAGCAACAUACGUUGUGUGGAGACGCCAAACGUUGUGUGGAGAGCACCAUACGUUGUGUGGAGACGCCAUACGUUGUGUGGAGACGCCAUACGUUGUGUGGAGAGCGCCAUACGUUGUGUGGAGACGCCAAACGUUGUGUGGAGAGCACCAUACGUUGUGUGGAGACGCCAUACGUUGUGUGGAGACGCCAUACGUUGUGUCGAGACGCCAUACGUUGUGUGGAGACGCCAUACGUUGUGUCGAGACGCCAUACGUUGUGUGGAGAGCACCAUACGUUGUGUGGAGACGCCAUACGUUGUGUGGAGACGCCAUACGUUGUGUGGAGACGCCAUACGUUGUGUGGAGAGCACCAUACGUUGUGUGGAGACGCCAUACGUUGUGUGGAGACGCCAUACGUUGUGUGGAGAGCACCAUACGUUGUGUGGAGACGCCAUACGUUGUGUGGAGAGCACCAUACGUUGUGUGGAGACGCUAUACGUUGUGUGGAGAGCACCAUACGUUGUGUGGAGAUGCCAUACGUUGUGUGGAGAGCACCAUACGUUGUGUGGAGAGCACCAUACGUUGUGUGGAGAGCACCAUACGUUGUGUGGAGAGCAGCGAGACACGGAGACGCUUUCCUGUCCCGGUUACUCAGCAGGACGCUGCUGGACUCUGGACUCAGGUCAACGACCCGCGUCCAAACAUUUCCACAGAAACAGCGUGUGUGUGUGUGUCUGUGUGUGUAUAUGUGUGUGUCUGUGUGUGUGUGUCUGUGUGUGUAUAUGUGUGUGUCUGUGUGUGUAUAUGUCUGUGUGUGCGUGUGUCUGCGUGUGUCUGCGUGUGUCUGCGUGUGUGUGUGUGUGUGAGGGUGCGUUUAUUUACGGUAAAGACAGACCCACUGGUGCAGGGGGGGGAGGGUCAGGGUUCAGAGCUCUGCAGGCUCCUCACAGCCCCUCCUCAGAUGUACAUACAUGUGAGUGACUUUUGUUCAAUUCUAUAUUUUAUCGCUUUUGUAGACAUUUUGUUGUGGGAAUAA
This 1464-nucleotide long non-coding RNA is filed under the name Takifugu rubripes (torafugu). RNAcentral describes it as "lncRNA (ENSTRUG00000032399.1)". The record is from RNAcentral. Lineage: Eukaryota; Metazoa; Chordata; Actinopteri; Tetraodontiformes; Tetraodontidae.